RNAcentral lists this ribosomal RNA (470 nucleotides) under uncultured bacterium. Its description in RNAcentral is "bacterial SSU rRNA". It matches the Rfam family "Bacterial small subunit ribosomal RNA", at positions 29 to 506 of the family's 1533-position model. The record is from RNAcentral.
AUGAACGCUGGCGGCGUGCUUAAUACAUGCAAGUCGAACGGAAGACUAGAAAUAGGAAUUAGUGGCGAACGGGUGAGUAACGCGUUGGUGACCUGCCCCGAAGAGGGGGAUAACAGCUCGAAAGGGCUGCUAAUACCCCAUGAGAUCUCUAUGGUUAGAGUGUAGAGAUGAAAGGGAAACGUUCGAAAGGACGACCCGCUUUGGGAGGGGCCUGCGUCCCAUCAGCUAGUUGGUAAGGUAAAAGCCUACCAAGGCGAAGACGGGUAGGGGGCCUGAGAGGGUGACCCCCCACACUGGCACUGAAACACGGGCCAGACACCUACGGGUGGCAGCAGUAGGGAAUAUUGCACAAUGGGCGAAAGCCUGAUGCAGCAACGCCGCGUGCGCGAAGAAGGCCUUCGGGUUGUAAAGCGCUUUUCGGGGAGAAGAGGAAGGACAGUAUCCCCGGAAUAAGGCUCGGCUAACUACGU